GACGAACGCUGGCGGCGUGCUUAACACAUGCAAGUCGAACGAUGAAGCCCAGCUUGCUGGGUGGAUUAGUGGCGAACGGGUGAGGAACACGUGAAGAAUCUGCCUUCAACUCUGGGAUAACUCCGGGAAACCGGGGCUAAUACCGGAUAUGAGAUCUGCAGGCAUCUGCGGAUCUGGAAAGUUUUUCGGUUGAAGAUGACUUCGCGGCCUAUCAGCUUGUUGGUGAGGUAAAGGCUCACCAAGGCGACGACGGGUAGCCGGCCUGAGAGGGCGACCGGCCACACUGGGACUGAGACACGGCCCAGACUCCUACGGGAGGCAGCAGUGGGGAAUAUUGGGGCAAUGGAGGGAACUCUGACCCAGCGACGCCGCGUGCGGGAUGAAGGCCUCGGUUGUAACGCUUCUAGCAGGGAAUAAGCGCAAGUGAAGGUACCUGCAGAAGAAGCACCGGCUAACUAUGUG
RNAcentral lists this ribosomal RNA (462 nucleotides) under uncultured bacterium. RNAcentral's name for it is "bacterial SSU rRNA". It matches the Rfam family "Bacterial small subunit ribosomal RNA", at positions 28 to 507 of the family's 1533-position model. The record is from RNAcentral.